This 253-nucleotide ribosomal RNA is filed under the name uncultured bacterium. RNAcentral's name for it is "partial 16S ribosomal RNA". It matches the Rfam family "Bacterial small subunit ribosomal RNA", at positions 524 to 776 of the family's 1533-position model. The record is from RNAcentral.
CACGUAGGUGGCAAGCGUUAUCCGGAAUUACUGGGCGUAAAGGGUCCGCAGGCGGUAGGGUCAGUCUGUGGUGACAGCCCCUGGCUUAACUGGGGGAGGCCCAUGGAUACUGCCCUUCUUGAGUCACGGAGAGGGAAGCGGAAUUCCCGGUGUAGUGGUGAAAUGCGUAGAUAUCGGGAGGAACACCAGUGGCGAAGGCGGCUUCCUGGCCUGUUCUUGACGCUGAGGCGCGAAAGCUAGGGGAGCGAACAGG